Molecule: long non-coding RNA, 605 nt
Organism: Piliocolobus tephrosceles (Ugandan red Colobus)
Lineage: Eukaryota; Metazoa; Chordata; Mammalia; Primates; Cercopithecidae
Source: Ensembl
CUACCACCUCUACCAAAUCCCUCAACAACGUAUUAUUAUUUUUUAUUUUUAUGCUUUUUGAGUAGCAUUGCUGUCACUCCAAUCACUUCACUUCAACCUUUUGAAGAAGUGCGGAUCUCUCAAUCAUGAGUAUGGAAACUCAGAGAAUGUUGGAGAAGUCCUGUGUCUUACUGGGCAAAUUGCCCUGGUACCUUCCACAAUGAAAUUUGUUCGUGGUGGAAUACAAACAAAAGCUACUCUGUCCUUAAGCCAUACCCUGAAAAUCCUGGAAGCUACACAUGGAGGCACCAGCCUUCAGCACACUUUCAUGGCUCACUGUUACGAAAUGUUAUGUUAAUGAACAGCCAGCUCACUUCCACUGCUCUGGAUACCUGGCAGAACUUCAAGACCCAUUAAAAGCGCAGGUGUUUUCUGAUCCAGUGAGAAGUUCUUGAAAAAUGAGAAGAAAGAGAGGUUUAAUUGUAACAUGGAUACAUUUUGGACUGGAUGCCAGCCACUUGAAUAAGGUAUGUGCGUUUAAGCAUAAAAACUGACUGUAUUUUCCUUUUCUUAUUUGAACAUGCAAAACCUUUUAUUUUCAUAAUCAAGGACAAAUGUAUUUCAUA